This 497-nucleotide ribosomal RNA is filed under the name uncultured bacterium. RNAcentral's name for it is "partial 16S ribosomal RNA". It matches the Rfam family "Bacterial small subunit ribosomal RNA", at positions 28 to 507 of the family's 1533-position model. The record is from RNAcentral.
GAUGAACGCUGGCGGCGUGCCUAAUACAUGCAAGUCGAGCGAACAGACGAGGAGCUUGCUCCUCUGACGUUAGCGGCGGACGGGUGAGUAACACGUGGAUAACCUACCUAUAAGACUGGGAUAACUUCGGGAAACCGGAGCUAAUACCGGAUAAUAUAUGGAACCGCAUGGUUCAAUAGUGAAAGACGGUUUUGCUGUCACUUAUAGAUGGAUCCGCGCCGCAUUAGCUAGUUGGUAAGGUAACGGCUUACCAAGGCGACGAUGCGUAGCCGACCUGAGAGGGUGAUCGGCCACACUGGAACUGAGACACGGUCCAGACUCCUACGGGAGGCAGAAGUAGGGAAUCUACCGAAACGGGCGGAAGCCUGAAGGAGCAACGCCGCGUGAGUGAUGAAGGUCUUCGGAUCGUAAAACUCUGUUAUUAGGGAAGAACAAAUGUGUAAGUAACUAUGCACGUCUUGACGGUACCUAAUCAGAAAGCAACGGCUAACUACGUG